Molecule: long non-coding RNA, 1524 nt
Filed under: Phasianus colchicus (ring-necked pheasant)
Lineage: Eukaryota; Metazoa; Chordata; Aves; Galliformes; Phasianidae
Description: lncRNA (ENSPCLG00000020818.1)
Source: RNAcentral
GUGCCCUGUUUUCUUUUGAAGGCUUCCUCUAAUGUAUCUGUCUAGAAAUCAUAUACUCCUAAGUGUAUGGCUGUGAGUAUCAUUAUAAUAUAAAGUUAAUUAAUGAAUGAGGAGCUGUGCGCUACUUGGCAUUUCUCAUAUAUUAUAAAAAUGUAAUUAAUUCUCUCUGAGCAGAUCUGAAACCCAUGUAAGUCUUGGAGAGCAGGAUGAACAUUGCCUGUAAGCUCUAUUGGGUAUUGUUAAUGGAUAUUUAGUUGGUAUUGCUAAAUGUUAUUUAUCUAUAAUUUAGGUGCCCAACCUUUUGGAUUGCUUGGGCCAUCUUGAGUGAGGAGGAGUUGCCUUGGGCUGAUGUUUUGGUUGUUGCUGAGUGAUGGGUGUAUGCCCAGCUGCAGAAGAGCAAGCUCACAGCCUCUCUAGAAUGGGGAAAUUCUCUUCAAGCAACCGGACAAUGAGUGCACAUCCCUGAGUUUAGCUGCUGCACCAGGAUUGUGUGAACAGGAGAGGAUCAGCCAUACAGUGUUGCCAAACCUAAAUAAUGUCGGUACGUCAGGUGGCUUCUGCAUGACUCAAAGCACCUCAAACUUCAGUGCACUUGAAGUACCCUUAGAGCAUAGUGACACAUGGUGUUCUGGGCCAGCUGGAAACAUAAACAUUACAAAGCAGCAGCAAACGUCUAUUACAUGAAACAUCAGUGAACUGCAAUAAGAAAAGGUAGGAUAAAAUUAAACUGUGAGACAUAGACCUCACGAAGCAAGUUCUUCAACUUAUGUGCUAUUUAAAAAGAAAGUAGAGCAGAUGUACCCCAUCUCAGUUGACAUUAAUACUUUGAAGUAAUGUUGGUGAGUAGCCUGUUAAUGUGUCACAUCACCCAAAGUAUUUAUUAUGUUAUCUUCAGUGGAGGCUAAAUAGUUAGAUAUCCUUGUAUAGAUGGAGAUGUAAAACUGACUGCUGGAGGGUGCUAUUUUAGCAGCUUGUUUGAGGAGCAGCUUGCUUGCUUUUGCCAUGUGAUGUGAGUCAUUUGUUACAUGUAAGUUCUCUACUGACUCUCCUUCCUUCUGAAGCAGCCCAUUAUAGUUCUGUGCAAUAUUGUGAUGUUUGUUAAUACUGGAGAACCUGUGAUCAGCAACAGUAGGAAAUAACUAUUUCUGUUUUACAAAGGAGGCAACUGAAGCACAGGCCGAUGUUGCCUGAAGUUGCUUAGUGGUAAUGCUUUGAAGAGGAAGAUAAGUUUUGACUGAAUUCAUAACAACAAAUUGAAGAAGUUGCUAAUGAACAUCCUGUUUUCUUGUACAUUCCUUUUUCCUUGUACAACUUGACUGCAAGGUUGCUCUGUAGACCCACCAUCGAUUUACAUGCUUUUUCAAAUGUUUGCAUCUUCACAUCAGGUGGCUAAAAUACUCAGAAAAGUAAUUUCUGACUGAUAUGAUGGAACACGAUACAUCCUACCUGUGUGGGAUUGAUAGAUAUUUUGAAGUUAGGUCUUAUCUGAGAUACACAGUAUGUCAGUGAAUGUCCUAAUUGCUU